GCACUAUCGAGAGGCGGAAGUACAAGAACAAAGUUAAGCAUGGAGG
Molecule: small RNA, 46 nt
Filed under: Arabidopsis thaliana (thale cress)
Lineage: Eukaryota; Viridiplantae; Streptophyta; Magnoliopsida; Brassicales; Brassicaceae
Description: ATSL277000
Source: RNAcentral